AGAACGAACGCUGGCGGCAUGCCUAACACAUGCAAGUCGAACGAGACCUUCGGGUCUAGUGGCGCACGGGUGCGUAACGCGUGGGAAUCUGCCCUUGGGUUCGGGAUAACAGUUGGAAACGACUGCUAAAUACCGGAUGAUGUCUUCGGACCAAAGAUUUAUCGCCUUUAGAUGUGCCCGCGUUGGAUUAGCUAGUUGGUGGGGUAAAGGCCUACCAAGGCGACGAUCCAUAGCUGGUCUGAGAGGAUGAUCAGCCACACUGGGACUGAGACACGGCCCAGACUCCUACGGGAGGCAGCAGUGGGGAAUAUUGGACAAUGGGCGAAAGCCUGAUCCAGCAAUGCCGCGUGAGUGAUGAAGGCCUUAGGGUUGUAAAGCUCUUUUACCAGGGAUGAUAAUGACAGUACCUGGAGAAUAAGCUCCGGCUAACUCCGUGCCAGCAGCCGAC
Molecule: ribosomal RNA, 448 nt
Filed under: uncultured bacterium
Lineage: Bacteria
Description: SSU rRNA
Rfam family: Bacterial small subunit ribosomal RNA
Source: RNAcentral